AUUCAGCUGACUAGUUCCAAAGAGGACGAAAUGCGCUUUCUGAAU
RNAcentral lists this non-coding RNA (45 nucleotides) under Schistosoma mansoni. The record is from RNAcentral. Lineage: Eukaryota; Metazoa; Platyhelminthes; Trematoda; Strigeidida; Schistosomatidae.